AGGCUGGGAGGGGUGUCAGUGCU
RNAcentral lists this microRNA (23 nucleotides) under Salmo salar (Atlantic salmon). Its description in RNAcentral is "ssa-miR-92a-3-5p". Its record names the gene ssa-miR-92a-3-5p. Lineage: Eukaryota; Metazoa; Chordata; Actinopteri; Salmoniformes; Salmonidae. The record is from miRBase by way of RNAcentral.